CACCAUCACCAAAACCUCAGCCUCCUUAUUAUUAUCACUCUCCACCUCCUCCAACACCAGUUGUUAAGCCACCAUACUACUACCAAUCUCCACCUCCUCCAUCUCCAAAACCUAAGCCUCCAUACUACUACCAAUCUCCUCCUCCUCCAUCACCAAAACCUAAACCUCCUUACUACUACCAAUCUCCACCUCCUCCAUCACCAAAACCUCAGCCUCCAUACUACUAUCAAUCUCCACCUCCUCCAACACCAGUUGUGAAGCCACCAUACUACUACCAAUCUCCACCUCCUCCAUCACCAAAACCUCAGCCUCCUUACUAUUACCAAUCUCCACCUCCUCCAACACCAGUUGUUAAGCCACCAUACUACUAUAAAUCUCCACCUCCCCCAUCACCCUCUCCUCCACCACCAUACUACUACAAAUCUCCACCACCACCAUCCCCAUCACCGCCACCUCCAUACUACUAUAAAUCUCCACCUCCACCAUCACCGGUUGUUAAGCCACCAUACUACUAUAAAUCCCCACCUCCCCCAUCACCCUCUCCUCCCCCUCCAUACUACUAUAAAUCUCCACCUCCAUACUACUACCACUCUCCACCUCCACCAUCACCAGUUGUUAAGCCACCAUACUACUACAAAUCUCCACCUCCACCAUCACCCUCACCUCCCCCUCCAUACUACUAUAAAUCUCCACCCCCACCUUCACCAUCCCCUCCUCCUCCAUACUAUUAUAAAUCACCACCACCACCAUCCCCAUCACCGCCACCUCCAUACUAUUACAAAUCCCCUCCAC
RNAcentral lists this long non-coding RNA (792 nucleotides) under Phaseolus vulgaris (common bean). RNAcentral's name for it is "long non-coding RNA (PVUL_LNC001945)". The record is from RNAcentral. Lineage: Eukaryota; Viridiplantae; Streptophyta; Magnoliopsida; Fabales; Fabaceae.